ACAUAUCUAUAUUUUCUGGAUGUUCCAGAUUAUUUAUAGACAUUUCUUUUAUAAUAAUCCCAAAUUGGAAACAGUCAAAAUGUUCAUCAUCAGGAGAACAGAUAAACAAAUUGUAUCUUCAUUCAAAUUCAUUCAAUAUUAAACAAAAAUUAAAGUGAUACAUACAACUGCAUAAAUUUAAGUUAAUGAAGAUAACUUGAGCCAAAUAAACUGCCCACAAGGAAAUUAAUGUUUAUAUUAUGUGAUUAUAUUUAUAAGAAGUUCUAAAAUAAGCAAUAUUAAUCUAUCUUAACAGAAUUUAGAGGAAUGAUUAUGAAGGCAGGUGGGAGAAUUGAAUGGCAAGGGUAUAACAAAAUCCCUAGGUUAAACAAAAUACUCUGUUUCAAUCUGGGUGGUUGUUACCCAGGUGUAGACAUAUACUGUAUAAUAUUCACUAAGAUGUACAAUUAGGAAUUACGCAUUUUGUUUUUGUAAACUGUUCUCAAUUAUUUUAAAGGAAAGGGAGAAAAAGAACAACAGCAACAACAACAAAAGCAGCCUCCUGCCUGAGAAGUCUCUUGUAAAUAAGAAGUGGAAAAGAACAGAAGAAAAGCAGGAAUGACAAGAUCAAGUUCCAAAAAGGCUUGAAUACAUGGGAAUUUAUUAUUAGCUACCUUGAUCUGCAAAAACAGAGAGGAUAUAUGCUUCCAGAAAGAGAAAAUGACUGAUUUUAUAAGAGGAAUUUAGCUGCUUGAGCUCAGUAUAUCACCUCCAUUUAUUCUCAGCAUGCCAUCAGCAAAUAGCUAUCUGUUCUCAAAGGAAGUAAUAACUUGAAAGUAAUCUUCAUAAACUUUUUUUAUGCUAUUCUAUGCUAUGUGAUGUAAAGGUACUUUAAAGGAAUAAGGUGGCAUGAGAAAAGAAUAUUUAGGGAUAUCAGAAAACUAUCCCAAGAAACGGAAAAUUGUCAAGAAAUAAUUCUAUAGAUUCUCAAAGAAACUAAUGGCAAGAUGGUUUUAUUAAAAAAAGAUGAAAGUAGAGCUACCAAGCAAAGAGAAUCUAGGAAACAAACAUAUAAAUGCAAUUUUAUUAACUUACAGCCAUUAUGAAGCCUCCACAAGAAAGAAAAAUACAACUGAAGCCUUGCUAGGAAAAUUGAAGUCAAUCUUGAAGGAAAUACAAAGGGCCUCUGAGAAGCAUCAAGAAAUAAUUAACAGUUGUUGAUAGUUAACUUUAGGUGUCAACUAAACUGGAUAAUGGAAUAUCUAGAGAACUGUUUUCAGAUACCUGGCCUUGGAAUGAAACUUACACCAUCAGCUUUCCUGGUCCUGAGGCCUUUGUACUUGGACUGAUCCACACUAUAAGCAUCCCCAGGUCUUGAAUGCAGAGAGUCAUGGGAUUUCUCAUCCUCCAUAAUCAUCUAGAAAAGAAGGCCCGAGAGUCCCUGGCAAACCACUGGUGUAAGUCCAAGAGUCCAAAAGCAGAAGAACUUGCAGACUGAUGUUUGGGGGCAGGAAGCAACCAGCAUAGAAGAACGAAGAAUACUAGAAGACUCAGCAAGUCAGCUCCUUCCACCUUCUUCUGCUUGCUUUAUUCUAGCUGCUCUGGCAGCUGAUUACAUGGUGCUCACCCAGAUUGCGGGUGGGUCUGCAUCUCCCAGUUCACUGACACAAAUGUUAAUCUCCUUUGGCAACACCCUCACAGACACACCCAGGAACAAUACUUUGCAUCCUCAGUCAAGUUGACACUCAACAUUAGCCAUCACAAGUCCAUCCCUUGUCAACUUGAACCCAUACACAUCUCCUGAAAUUACACAUAAUCUUCAAAUAAAGACAAUAAUGAUGUCAUAAUUACACCUAACUUAAUACGGCUAUCCUUCAUACAACCAGAAGUGAAUUAUUAACCGAAAUGCUAUUACAUAAAGUUAAUAACACUUAACUGCUGAUAUGAAGUUAAUAAUGUCACUUGAUAAGGGAAAAGCAAAGGAAAUAAAUAAAGGUAUUUUCUUAGUAGAAGUGUAUACAUGCACAAACAUGUAAGGAGGAAAUCCACAUGACAAUUACAGGUCUCAUUUCUGCAACUGGUCUUGUGGUCAUAGCUGGUAUUGAUGACUACCUUUUUCUACUAACCAUUCUGUAUUCCCUUUGCCUUCAGCUAGCACCUCAGCAGGCUGUUAUUUUUUUACCUGGUGAAGUCACCCAACCCUUCAUUCCUGAAGAGUCUGGGCCAUUUGUAGUCCUGCCUAGAUUGGAUUGUUGUAGUUUUCCACUGACCUUAAUCACAGGGCAUGGUAGUACUAAAAGACGGCCUAAGGGAUCUCCUGUAUUCCACACAUAUUCUUCCUUACCUCCACUGUGGAGUAGUAACCUGAUUUCAUCUUGAUAGUCCAGGUCAAUCACCCAAGUCAACACUGUAACUCCUUUCUUGACCUGUUGACUUAGAGGUGGGAGGAGCCCAAAGUGGCCAGGUGGCAAUUUUAACUUUCAGUUUAAUGGUAUCAUUCUUGUGUCGACUGGUGGCAGAAUUCUUCCCUCUGGAACUAAGGCCAGCAGAACAUAAUGUUGGGGGAACUGGAAGUAAAAUUUUUGCUAGUGGGUCACUAGGAGUGAUGGUGAGUGGUGCCACUUCUACUUCUACCCCUUGAUUCUUAGGCCUGUGAAUGCUGGCUAUGAGGGAAACAGUACCAUAUAUUGGAUGCUGAUUCAGGACAUACUCAGCCUUC
Molecule: long non-coding RNA, 2698 nt
Filed under: Homo sapiens (human)
Lineage: Eukaryota; Metazoa; Chordata; Mammalia; Primates; Hominidae
Description: HSALNT0203370
Source: RNAcentral